Molecule: long non-coding RNA, 1257 nt
Organism: Oncorhynchus tshawytscha (Chinook salmon)
Lineage: Eukaryota; Metazoa; Chordata; Actinopteri; Salmoniformes; Salmonidae
Source: Ensembl
GUGUAAUGUACUUUUUUAAACAUUUUGUUUAGGCAGAUGAAAUGACAUUGCCUUAUUUUUCGGGAAUGCUCUGACAUGAGACAAUAAUUUUUUACUUGUAAUAUAAAUGAAAAGUAAAUCAUUCUGGCCCUAAUUAUAGCUGAAUUAAUUGAUGAAUAGGUUGUGAAAAUGAUAAGCAACCAAUGUUAAGGCCACAAUCUACCUAUGCCUGUUGUAGAGAGAAGAGCCUGUCAAAAGCACCUGCUUGGUUUUAGAGUGCUGAGGUUGAGCUUGGGUGGUUUGGGAAUUAGAUGUUGUGUUGUUUAGUAACUGUUUUAAAGAAAUGGUGGUUACCAUUGUGUUCAUUUCCAACCUGCCUUGAACAUUCACUUUGACUGACGAUGCUACUUCUAUUGCUGCACUGUUUGUGCUGAUUCAACAACAACAUGCACUUAUGACUGACUCAAUGGAAAUGUUUAGUCCUACUGUUUAUGAUGGCCUUGGUUAGUUAAGUGAUGAAGUGGUUAGAGAAAUGGACUGGUGAAAAGAGGAUUUGGGUGCAGUUCAAUUGCACUGAGCAAUCAACAUUCCUCUGUAUAAAUGCAUUGUGUUGAAAACAUAAGUCCUCUGCAAGUGGAGAAUUCUAUAGUUGCAGUACAAUGUGCAUGUUUGAUCACUACUCUAAAUUAAAAAGAAAUGGGGACAUUUUAAUUUAGCAGAUUCCUCUAUUCCUUUGUAGAUCUUCCUUUUGUAUUCAACUAACUGCAAAUUCUAAAUAAAUAAAAUGUUACAUUUCAUAGCAGGUUUUAACAUUAUACUGAUGUUUCAGAUAGAUGUUGAAUAAGGUCAGUUAUUUGGGAACAUAGUUGUACAAGUUCUGUUAUGGACCAAAAAGCCAAACUGACUUAACUAGUUGGAAUUGUUCUCUAGCAAUUGGAACAAGAAGUAACAACCUCAAAUAUUUAACUGCCAUGUGCAUUGAGACAUUUGAAAAAAUGUGCCCCUUGUUCUUAAUGUGUUGUAAAUUGACUUAUUCCGAGCUUCUCUAAAGCACUGUAUGGAGAUCUGAAAACAAAUAAUUUUAUAUACCUGUACUGUUUAGGAACAAAGAGACAAAGAUAAAUGUUUUCUCUUGAGGAAAGAUAUAACACUUAAAGAAGCUGUAUGACUUUUUUUUGACCAAUUUGUGGUUUCUAUGUUUUUGGCAUUAUAUGGGCCAUUAGAAUAAAUCUUAAUAAAGGGAUGCAUAUUGAUAAUAAAAACAGACAUCAACUGCUC